Molecule: long non-coding RNA, 199 nt
Filed under: Elaeis guineensis (African oil palm)
Lineage: Eukaryota; Viridiplantae; Streptophyta; Magnoliopsida; Arecales; Arecaceae
Description: long non-coding RNA (EGUI_LNC000028)
Source: RNAcentral
CAACUGAUGUAAAAAUGCCAUCGUCCCACAAACAAGGUGCAUUGUUUCCACCUAUUUGCAUCCUAUCUCAAUAUCUUAGCUGGCAAUCAUGAGCAAGCACCACGUGAAUAGGAUUAAAAAAGUUAGAACAAAUAAAAGUUACAUGGCCCUUGCUAAACUUAACAUCGUUCGGCUAUAAAUACACUAAGUUUGGAGGCAU